AGUGAACGCUGGCGGUAGGCCUAACACAUGCAAGUCGAACGGCAGCACAGGAGAGCUUGCUCUCUGGGUGGCGAGUGGCGGACGGGUGAGGAAUACAUCGGAAUCUACUUUUUCGUGGGGGAUAACGUAGGGAAACUUACGCUAAUACCGCAUACGACCUACGGGUGAAAGCAGGGGAUCUUCGGACCUUGCGCGAUUGAAUGAGCCGAUGUCGGAUUAGCUAGUUGGCGGGGUAAAGGCCCACCAAGGCGACGAUCCGUAGCUGGUCUGAGAGGAAGAUCGGCCACACUGGAACUGAGACACGUUCCAGACUCCUACGGGAGGCAGCAGUGGUGAAUAUUGGACAAUGGGCGCAAGCCUGAUCCAGCCAUACCGCGUGGGUGAAGAAGGCCUUCGGGUUGUAAAGCCCUUUUGUUGGGAAAGAAAUCCAGCUGGUUAAUACCCGGUUGGGAUGACGGUACCCAAAGAAUAAGCACCGGCUAACUUCGUGCCAGCCGCCGCCGUAA
RNAcentral lists this ribosomal RNA (506 nucleotides) under uncultured bacterium. RNAcentral's name for it is "partial 16S ribosomal RNA". It matches the Rfam family "Bacterial small subunit ribosomal RNA", at positions 29 to 523 of the family's 1533-position model. The record is from RNAcentral.